AGGACGAACGCUGGCGGCGUGCUUAACACAUGCAAGUCGAGCGAACCUUCGGGUUAGCGGCGAACGGGUGAGUAACACGUGGGCAACCUGCCCCGAGCUCUGGGAUAACCCCGGGAAACCGGGGCUAAUACCGGAUAUGACCCGAGAAGACAUCUUCUCGGGUGGAAAGUUUUUCGGCUCGGGAUGGGCCCGCGGCCUAUCAGCUUGUUGGUGGGGUAACGGCCUACCAAGGCGACGACGGGUAGCCGGCCUGAGAGGGCGACCGGCCACACUGGGACUGAGACACGGCCCAGACUCCUACGGGAGGCAGCAGUGGGGAAUAUUGCGCAAUGGGCGAAAGCCUGACGCAGCGACGCCGCGUGAGGGAUGAAGGCCUUCGGGUUGUAAACCUCUUUCAGCAGGGACGAAGCGCAAGUGACGGUACCUGCAGAAGAAGCACCGGCAACUACGUGCCAGCAGCCGC
This 463-nucleotide ribosomal RNA is filed under the name uncultured bacterium. Its description in RNAcentral is "SSU rRNA". It matches the Rfam family "Bacterial small subunit ribosomal RNA", at positions 26 to 518 of the family's 1533-position model. The record is from RNAcentral.